This 1481-nucleotide ribosomal RNA is filed under the name metagenome. RNAcentral's name for it is "bacterial SSU rRNA". It matches the Rfam family "Bacterial small subunit ribosomal RNA". The record is from RNAcentral.
AGAGUUUGAUCCUGGCUCAGGAUGAACGCUAGCGGCAGGCCUAACACAUGCAAGUCGCGGGAUAACAGGGUAGCAAUACUGCUGACGACCGGCGCACGGGUGAGUAACGCGUAUGCAAUCUGCCCGUAGCUAGAGGAUAGCCCGGAGAAAUUCGGAUUAAUACUCUAUAGUAUUUCAAAGAGGCAUCUCUUUGAUCUUAAAGCUCAGGCAGCUACGGAUGAGCAUGCGUGCCAUUAGCUUGUUGGUGAGGUAACGGCUCACCAAGGCUACGAUGGCUACGGGGUCUAAAAGGAUGAUCCCGCACACUGGUACUGAGACACGGACCAGACUCCUAUGGGAGGCAGCAGUGAGGAAUAUUGGGCAAUGGACGCAAGUCUGACCCAGCCAUGCCGCGUGCAGGACGACAGCCCUAGUUGGUUGUAAACUGCUUUUAUGCUUGAAGAAACCUUCGGACGUGUCCGAAGCUGACGGUAAAGCAUGAAUAAGCAUCGGCUAACUCCGUGCCAGCAGCCGCGGUAAUACGGAGGAUGCAGGCGUUAUCCGGAUUUAUUAGGUUUAAAGGGUGUGUAGGCGGUUUGGUAAGUCAGCGGUGAAAUCCUACGGCUUAACCGUAGAAAUGCCAUUGAUACUAUCGAACUAGAGUACAAUCGAGGUAGGCGGAAUGUGUAAUGUAGCGGUGAAAUGCAUAGAUAUUACACAGAACACCCAUUGCGAAGGCAGCUUACUAGGCUGUUACUGACGCUGAGGCACGAAAGCGUGGGGAGCAAACAGGAUUAGAUACCCUGGUAGUCCACGCCGUAAACUAUGAUCACUCGCUGUUGGCGAUAUACAGUCAGCGGCUGAGCGAAAGCAUUAAGUGAUCCACCUGGGGAGUACGACGGCAACGUUGAAACUCAAAGGAAUUGACGGGGGCCCGCACAAGCGGAGGAACAUGUGGUUUAAUUCGAUGAUACGCGAGGAACCUUACCUGGGCUCGAACGUAGUAUGACGUUCUGUGAAAGCGGAAUUCCCUUCGGGGCAUAUUGCGAGGUGCUGCAUGGUUGUCGUCAGCUCGUGCCGUGAGGUGUCGGGUUAAGUCCCAUAACGAGCGCAACCCUUAUUCUUAGUUGCCAGCGGAUAAUGCCGGGGACUCUAAGGAGACUGCCACCGUAAGGUGUGAGGAAGGUGGGGAUGACGUCAAAUCAGCACGGCCCUUACGUCCAGGGCUACACACGUGUUACAAUGGCCGGUACAAAGGGCAGCUACCUGGUGACAGGAUGCGAAUCUCUAAAACCGGUCUCAGUUCGGAUCGAAGUCUGCAACUCGACUUCGUGAAGUUGGAUUCGCUAGUAAUCGUAUUUCAGCAAUGAUACGGUGAAUACGUUCCCGGGCCUUGUACACACCGCCCGUCAAGCCAUGGAAGCCGGGGGUACCUGAAGUCCGUAACCGUAAGGAUCGGCCUAGGGUAAAACUGGUGACUGGGGCUAAGUCGUAACAAGGUA